Molecule: long non-coding RNA, 39387 nt
Filed under: Ananas comosus (pineapple)
Lineage: Eukaryota; Viridiplantae; Streptophyta; Magnoliopsida; Poales; Bromeliaceae
Description: long non-coding RNA (ACOM_LNC009387)
Source: RNAcentral
AGAAUUAAACCUAAAUUAUAUAUUACGUAAAAUCAAUUAAAAAGGUACAAAUGUAUGAGGACCCCCUCUACUACAUGCAAUUUUGAAACAAAUACCCGGACUUUAUUUCUUUCUAUUAUUGAGUUUUCACAGAUCGACUUUUAACCAUAGUUAGUUAAUUCGCGAAUUAUUCGCGAAUUAUUGAAAAUCUGAAUAAAACGGUUCAUAUGCGAUUUAUUCCCAAAAAUUCGGAAUAAAAUGCGAAUUUUUUGCUUAAAUUUAUUAUUCGCGAAUAAUUCGCAUAUGCCGAACUAUUCGGCCAAAAUAAUGCGCAAAGUUUUUUGGAUAACAUGAAUUAUUGAAAAACUUUAUAAACUUUCAAAAUAUGUGGAUCAUAAAAAAAAUGGAAAUGGAAAUGACGAUAAAAUUUACUAUUAAUUGCUUUUUUACUUGAUCUACUUUAUUUUGUAAAUCUCUAUUUUUAUAUUCUUAAGAAUUUAUAAUUAUAUAUGCUAGUAGCAUAAAUUAGAGAAAAAAGCUUAGUUUAAUAGCCAAAUUUUUUAUCCCGAAUUUUUAAUUGGUGAAUAUAUAAUUUUCGUAUAGUAAUUGGCGAAUCCGUUUUUUAAACCGUAUUUUUCAAUGAAUUUAAAAAUUGAGAUACGAAUUUUGUUCGAAUUAUAUCCGUAUCGAAUUUUUACCGAAUCUGAAUUAACUAACUAUGCUUUCAACUAGGGACUUUUCAACUAACAAGUAGAACAACUUAAAUUAAAGCAGAGUUUUAGUGGUCUAGUUCGAAACGACCUAUCUCCGUACACUUUUACAAUUCAGAUAGCAUGUUUUGCCGAUGACUUUUUGAAAAGGACGUGAAUGCUAAAUUAAAAAAAUUGGGGAGCUAAGUGAAAUGAUUGAUGAAAAUGCCACAAAUAUUAGAAAAAUAUAUACAAAGCCAAAGAGUGCAAGCUACAGUGAUGUUAACAACCCAACCAUAUAUUAUGCGUACUCAUGAAACCUAAUUAAUACCNAUCUCUGGAGAGUGUCGGACUGAGUCGGAGUCAAUUCUGCACGAAUUGGAUGCAGAAUUGGACUCAACGCACUCAAUUAAGCAAAACUGAAGUUUUGCCAGUUUCGGGUGCCCAGAACAUUUUUAGGGUCGCCUAGAAACGAGUGUUGAAUUUAACUGAAACUGGAAGCCAAUUCGGAUCCCAUGUUCCGGGCGCCCAGAUGUGGGUCUGGAAAUUUGACAUCGUGAAUAUCGCUUGCUUCGACGCGUGGCAGGCGGUAGGUGAGUUCCGUCAGAGCUGUUUACGGGCGCAGCACACCGCGGGCGGAGAGUUCGAGGAGCCCGUUUUUGUGCAGGUCGGAUGUUCUGGUCGCCCAGAACAUGGUUCCGGGCGCCCGGAAAUGCCCGUUUCUGCAGGGACACUGGAUUGCAGCUGUUUCUCUUGGGGCUUAUCUUAUCUCUCCAGCAGCCUAUAAAUACCUGGUAUACGUCCCCAUUCAGCUCUUUUACCUGUUUUUCACAGAGAACUUAGAAUUUUCAUCCCUAAUCCCUUCAAUCUUUCCAAAUUGCAUCAAUAUCCACCUCUCCAAGAAUUGCAAGGUGCUGAUUCUGUAGUUCUUCAGCGACGACCUCCAGUGUUUUGGCUCGUGCGCGACGUAGGAAGGUCGAAUUUCGACGAAAUUUGGUUUGCUGGAUUCUAGACUUCCAGAGGAAUCUAUGAAGCCCUGAAUUGCAGAUUUUGGUUGAGGUUAGCUUGGUCGAACUGAGGUUUUCCUCUACUGCUGUUGCUUUGGACAGAAUUUGCCAAUUUUUGAGUUUUCUUAGGGUGAACAUGGGAAGCAGGGGCUUUGUGAAGCUGAGUCACUUUCCCUAUCAACCAGUACUAGAUUUGGAACCCUCUCCACCUGAAUUGGAGAUCAUUAGGUGAGUUUUGACAUUGGAAUUGGAUAAAUCCAAGCUUAAGGCUGAAAUUGAUGAUUUUUAUUGGAUUUUUGGGUGAAUUGUAAAUCCAGAUCUUGAGGGGCUUUGUUGCUGGUUUGGAGGUGUUUUCAGCAGUGUUGCUUGAGAUCCGAGACCCUCUUGCUGCCAGGAAUUGCACUAGAGGUGGGUGUAUCAUCGGUUUCGCUCCUAAGUGCAUGUUUAGUUGACGUGUAUAGUUCGAUUUUGUAUGUCAUGCUUUAAUUCAUAGAUUAGCAUUUUGGAUAUAAUAUGAAUCUAAAAGCAUGCUGAAAUGAAUGUUUAUAUUAUACAUGUUGGACCUGAAAUUCGACUUAGGAGAAAACCUGCGUUUUAACCCGCCAUAUGCUUAAACUACCAGAUUUAGCUCUAGGAGCCGAGAUUCGAUUGUAUCAUUGCAGUAUCAGUGCGAUGGAUACCUUGGGUAGUUUAGAAGGCAUUUACGCUCGUGCUGGGAUGCCGAGCUUAUUUUUAGCAGAGUCUAGACUGUUUCGGGUCAUUGGGUGCCGUUCGGGAUANAAAAAAGAAAAAAAAAAAGUAAACUUCAAAUGCCAUCAUAUAGUUUCAUACUUUCUCACUUUAGUACAUGUAGUUUAAAUUGUAUCAAGUUAGUGUUCUGUGGUUUUAUUUUUCUCUUUUCGUCAGCUUCUCCGUUAAUAUUUUAUUAAAUUAUAUACAAAAAAUUUCAGAUAUCCUACCUAGAUAUAUUUAUUGAAUAUUCACUUUCUUCCCCUUUAGUUUUAACUUUGUCACUGAUUUAACAGAAAAAAAUAGUGGAAUCGAUAAUAAAAAGAUAAAAAUGAAACCACAUGACACUAAAUUGAUAGACUUUAAAUCUCAGGAUACUAAACUGAGAAAGUGUGAAACGACAUGAGAGUUUUUCCAAAAAAAAGUACAUGAAACACCACACUGACUCCAAUAGUAAACACCAUGAGAAGAAUACAGUAUAAAUACUAUUAAUAAGAUAUAAUAUUAUUAUUUGUGACAAUAUAUAUAUUUAUUUGAGUAUGACUGGUACACUAUCAUUAGCACGGAGGCCUUCGUAGUAGCAAAUUAUUUUCACUGAUACAGCUUCCAAAUCGACGAUCGGCUCUGUUGAACUUAAUCUAUACUAUUGAAAGUAUUUGCAAACUAAAUUUUAUAAUUUUUCAACAUCAUCUACCUAUUCAAACGAGUAGUCUAAAUAUAAAAAUUUUAUAAAAAAUGAUGAUAAAAAGGUUUAAAAUUAAGAUAAGAGAUACUAACCUUACUCUAAAUAGUGAAAAGAAUUUUCUAUAAAACUUUCAUCUUAUUUUACAUCGUUAAAUUCAAAAGCACAUCACAUCGAUCAUUAAAAUUGUCAAUUUUGAAAUCUUUUGCUCACUAGCCGAAUAAUGUCGAAAAAUUAUGAAAUUUAGUUUUCAAAUACUUUCAGCAGUAUAGAUCAAGUUAAAUGAAAUCGACCGUCGAUUUGUAAGUUGCAUUAUUGAAAAUAACUAGGUAGCAUGGAGGCCUCUAUGCUACCAGUAGUAUAGCAGCCUAACUCAUUAGAGUCCGGCUGCUAUAUUAUAGGUAGUAAAGAGGCCUCCGUGCUACUAAUAGAAAUGAAAAUAAUAAUUUUGACAAAAUAUUGUUAUAUUUCUCAUAGGAAUAAAAAUAACAAAAAUUUUAUUAAUAGUUCAUACAUUUUUUUAAAAAAAUUCACUAUACAAAAUUUAUUUAUAUUUUUUAAAAACAAUUAUAUGUAUUCAUAAAAGAGCCAAAAUAGUUAUCAUAUUACAUUAUAUUCAUAGAAAAAUAUAAAUUAAAAAAAUAUAUUUUUUAAUGGAAUGCAUAAUGGACUCACGUAGAACCUGCGUCCAUGGCAUAUCCGCAUCAUACAUUGGUCCGAUAUGAACACACGAAAUUUAUAGAAAUGUCUAUGAUACAUAACUAUCUAAUAUUUUAAGUUAUUUAAUUUGAGUCAAUUGAUAAUUCUUUAACUUUCAAGUUUUAAUUGGUCGUUUAUUUAUGCAGGUUUAAGUAGUAUAUUUUUUACAAUUCUUGUAAUUGUCAGUUUAUUAAAGUAAACAAUUAACAUAAUUUUGUACUGAGAACACCACUGGACAACUUAAAUCAAAUAAAUUAAAAGUUUGAAUAUUUGAAUUAAAAUUUUUAAAGGUCAAAUUAAAAUGGUUCAUGAUUCACUUAAUAAGUUCUCUAUAACUUUAAUGAAAUUGAUAGAGGAAGAAAAUAUAUAACAAUGCAUGGAGACCCCUCAACUAUAGGCCAAUUUGACAUGGCCCAUCAUUUUUAUUUAAGUGACAUCGCUUUAACUUUUGAUUUUUUGAAUNAGGUUUCGGCUGCUGCGCCUUCCGCGGAUCAGGAUCGAGAUAAGGGCGUCCGACUGACAGAGCUAGAGGCACUCUACUGCAGGUAGUUGUUUUGAUAGAGUUCAUGUAUAUACCUACCUUUAACUCGCCAGUGCGAGUAGUUUUUGUAUCCUGAAUUUUGGUGUAUGUAUAUGGGAUUCGAUUUGGUAUUUCUUCUGUUUCUUCUAGCAGCUCUAUACUACUGUUUGUAGUAUUGUAUGAUUUACAGAUACAGUUAUCGCUUCGUAUACAAGGAAAAUUCCUUUGUAUGCGGUGGAUUUGUCGGCGGGCCCGAGGAACGUGUAAUCCGGGGCGUGACAUCACGGCUCCGCCCAGCGCCCGCAUCGCGCAGCGCCCGCGCCCGGCGCCGCGCCCACUCCUGCUCGCGGCUCCGCCCCCGCCAGCGCCAGCGCGCGCCCUCGCCCGCGCCUCGGCCUUCUCGCAACACGUAUGCAGUUAUUGAGGAAUAAUAUAUAGUUAUAAAUGAGUGUAUUUAGGUGAAUCUAUUUGCAUUAUAGAGUUUUGGAUCAGGUCCAAAUCCACAUAAGCCCAUGAAUGUGGCGUAUCUAAUGAAAUCUAUUCAAUCUAAAAGUUUAAACAUAUUAAAUUUGAAUCUACUGGUAUGUAUUAAUAUUUUACUCUCUUAUUUAUUAUCUGAUGCGGAACCAUUUGCAAAUGAAUUAUUUGCUGUCCCCGUUUCAAUCCAUCAUAUAUAGUUGACUUGAUAGUUGUUAGUACCUAAAAUCUCAAGUUCGAUGUCUACUUACUUACACAUGCAUUUCAAAUUUGUUUUGCUAGUUACCCGAAAGCCACUAACCCGAGCCUCCAUGCUUUAUGUGAUGCCGCAAUAGUCCCACAUCGGAUGAGAAUGAUUUUGUAGUUCAUGAAAAUAUAAGAUAACCAUAGACCCUAAUAACAAUAAUAGAGCUAGUCCCACAUCGGAUAAAAAUAAGUUUAUGAUUAAAAAUAUAAGAAACCAUUGAUCCUAACAAUAAAGAUUCAGCUAAGCUAUUUUGGGAUCAUUAUAUUUGGUGUAUCAUAGCCAGUUUAUUGGCCGGAAGUGUGAAAUGAGCUUAAUGAGGACGUCGGAGCGUAAACAAAGAGGUAUUGUGAAUACUAAUAAUAAUAACUAAGUUUAAAAAUUUUGGGCCAUUUAUUUAGGCCCACUAAAUUAUUAUUGUUGGUGGUUUGUGGGCGUCAUACUUUAACUUGUGCUACUCGGAAUCCAUUUGAACAUUUUGAUUUCUAAAUAGUUUAAAUGGUUUAGAUCAUAUUCAAUGAUACUGAUCAUUGAUUUGAAAGCUCUAUUAAUUAAAAACAAAUCGGUAAUAAAUCAAUCCGAUUACUAUUGAUAAUAUGUAUCUAAUAAAGCUCGUAAAUAUAUUAUAUCUGUGUGUAGUAGAUGACAAACUUUCGAAUUCAUUGUUAAGGCGCAAAUAAGAAAUGGGCCACACAUUUUUUAUAUUGGCCAAAUUCGAUAUUUAUAUCAAAAUCGGCCUGGCCCAAAUUUCAUCAUGAACACAUCCAUAGUCCAAGAUCACUCUGUUUAGGGCUUGACCUUCUCGUCAGCCCAAUCACACAUAGAGCUUACGAUCAUCAGGUGAUGUGAACUUAUCUUAUACUUCCGGCUAGUAAACAGGCUUCGAUGCCAAAAUAUAACGUUCCGACCCUCUAGUAAUAACAACUCGCUAGACCCAAACCGCAGGUGCAAGAUGUUUAAGUUUAAUUAGUUAUUAUUGUUAGGGAUCAUGGUUUCUUAUAUGCGCAAUCACAAUCUCAUUUCCAUCAGAUGUGGAGCAAUUGGUGUCACAAGCGUACAAAUUCUAAAUGCUGUAGAAUUGAGAUACAUCAUAGCCAUCAUUUACGUGCACUUAAUACAUGGGUGCAUAGAAGAGCAUGGCUGUAAUAUCCUUGGUUGAGUUGGUGGGGGGUAUAAUUAUAUAUAUAUAUAUAUAUAUAUAUUUUAUGGUUAUCCACCCACCUACUCAACCAAUAUAUAUAUCCAUCUGAGACUUUAGAAAGAAUUAAUUAUCUCGUUCAUCUCUUUAGCUUGGUCCGUUGAGGUGGAGCUCGGGUGGAGUGCCGUUGGAGCUUGGAUCGACGCCGACGUCGCCGCGGAGCCGUUCGAGCACGCGAGCAUCUUAGUCGCUGCAAGGCCGGGCGAGGGUUCGAUUCCACCAUUUUCGAUGUCGUACUGGAUUGUGAUUAGCGUUUGAGGUGGAUUUAUCAUCGAAAUCCUACUCCUAUAGUAUUGUUGGUCGACAUGUAUCGUUAAUAUUACAAGUUGUUAUUGUUUAACUCAAAUUCAGGAGUAGCUAUGUUUUAGACAUAUAAACUGAAUUGGGAGUAUGUUAUUAGUUGUUAUUAAUCAUACAUGUGGGACUUGGAUAAAACAUAGGAAAAACCAGCGUUCGGGACCUGGCAUAUGUUGAACUACCUGAUUUAGCCCUAGGGGCCGUUGUAUUUUUAUACUGUUGCAGUAUCUUCAUAGUGAGUAUCCCAGAUAGUUCAGAUUUCAGUUACGCUCGUGCUGGGAUGCUGAGCCGAUUUUUACAGUAGUGUUUACAGUGUUCCGGAUUAGUGGGUGCCGUAGUGGUUGAUGGCGGACCCGGAUUUGAUCGUUCCGAUAUCAGAUUGUGCCGAGGGCACGUGACUAGAGGUUGGUAGUACUAUUAGACCUGUUUUCUUGACUUUAGCCUGUGAGAGUCUGAUUGAGCUCGACAGAGAUACGCUUGCAUAUUCUGUUGGGUCGCGCCGACGAGUGCCGCUCCGGAGUCUGGCUUUGUGCUUUUGCGUUGAUGUCGCUAAUUAGUUGCUAUCCACAGGCUGUUUAGCAUGGAGGUAGCGCGGCUUAGACAGGCGGGAUAGGUGCGUACACAGUCCCUAAUGAGAUUGGGUCAGAAUUGAUAGUAGACACAGUGGGAUAGUGUAGUGGCAUGUAGCUGUGGAUUUCUUUCCGGAUUUACCUUUUAGCCUUAUUUUCUACUGUAGUCUUAGUGGGUGCGCCGAUGAUUUUGAGGGCGGUACCCACUGAGGACUACUUAUUUUUACAGUAGUUCUCACGCCCAGUUGUUACCCUGUAUUUUGCAGAGCCUGUUGUUCCGGCUGCUGCGUCUUCAGAGGCUGAUCGAGGCAAAGGCGUCGCGAGCUAGAGCCCUACCCGACGAAUCGCCGUGCUAAAGGAUCACCAGCUGCAGGUAGUAGUGUUUUUAUUUUGAGCUUAUGUAUAUACUGAUUCUAGAACUCGCUGGACCGAGUGUUUUUGUACUUAUUUGUUUGUAUGUAUAUGAGAUUUGUUCGUUCUACCUGCUUAGUUCUUUUUCGCUCUACACUAUUAUUUGUAGUAUUGUAUAUUUUACAGAGACAGCUAUCGCUUCGUAUACAGAAAAAUUUUUUUUGUAUACGACGGAUUUGUCAGCGUGCCGGGGAACGUGUAAUCCGGGGCGUGACAAUGGCCAACAGAUGAAUUAGCAAAACGAUUUGUGUACCUUUUGUGGCCGGAGAUCAUUUGGUAUAUUAUGUGCAUGGAUGUACCAAAAGAAUUAUUCAGAAAUUAAAAGAUGAGAGUCAGAUGAGAGAGAUUCAGAAAAAAAAGCUCGAGUUGAAACUAUUCUACGGAGAAGAAGAGUCGAUUGCAAUUAUUCUCAUGCUUGUGGUUGUAACUAUUGCAAAAUUUCACCAACUCGUAUUAGAGCAAGUACUAGACUUUUUUUAGCAAUUAGUACCAAAGCUGAUUGCAAAUUUUCAACAAUUGGUAUCAGAGCGUAGGAGUGGAAACGAGCCGAGCUUGAGUGAGCUUAUCACAGCUAAAGCUUGAUUUAAAAUUAAUUUUGAGCCUAAAUUUAGGUUCAAGCUUGGUUUGAAAUUAAUUCGUUUGAAAUUAAUCCGAGCCCAGCUAGAGAGUUUAACUUCGAGUCGAGCAAGCUCGAGCCCUAAACGAGCCGUUUGAAAUUUUUAAUAUUAUGCAAUCUAUAGUUUAACUUUUAUAAAAUAUUAUCUAAAAUUUAAUACAAAAAAUGUCUAAUAUUUUAACAUACAAAAUGAAUGUACGAAAUAUGAUAUUAUAAUAUUAAAAAAAAAAUUAGGGAAAACAACUCUGUGAGCAAGUAAAAAAAAAAAAGAGCAAUUAGAGUAGGGUUUUGCUUGUUUGGUUUUGUGGGCCCAAUAGCACCUAAACUNACAAUCUCAUUUCCAUCAGAUGUGGAGCAAUUGGAGUGUCACAAGCGUACAAAUUCUAAAUGCUGUAGAAUUGAGAUAUAUCAUAGCCAUCAUUUACGUGCGCUUAAUACAUGGGUGCAUAGAAGAGCAUGGCUGUAAUAUCCUUGGUUGAGUUGGUGGGGGGUAUAAUUAUAAUUUUUUUUUUUUAUGGUUAUCCACCCACCUACUCAACCAAUAUAUAUAUCCACCUAAGACUUUAGAGAGAAUUAAUUAUUUCAUUCAUCUCUUUAGCUUGGUCCGUUGAGGUGGAGCUCGGGUGGAGUGUCGUUAGAGCUCGGAUCGACGCCGACGUCGCGCCGCGGAGCCGUUCGAGCACGUGAGCAUCUUAGUCGCUGCAUGAGGAGGCCGGGCGAGGGUCCGAUUCCACCGUUUUCGAUGUCGCACCGGAUUGUGAUUAGCGUUUAAGGUGGGUUUAUCAUCGGAAUACUAUUCCUAUAGUAUUGUUGGUCGACAUGUAUCGUUAAUAUUACAAGUUGUUAUUGUUUAGCUCAAAUUUAUGAGUAGCUAUAUUUUAGACAUAUAAACUGAAUUGGGAGCAUGUUAUUAGUUGUUAUUAAUCAUACAUGUGAGACUUGGAUAAAAUAUAGGAGAAAACCAGCGUUCGGGACCUGGCAUAUAUUGAACUAUCUGAUUUAGCCCUAGGGGCCGUUGUAUUUUUAUACUGUUGCAGUAUCUUCAUAGUGAGUAUCCAAGAUAGUUCAGAUUUUAGUUACGCUCGUGCUGGGAUACCGAGCCGAUUUUUACAGUAGUGUUUACAGUGUUCCGGAUUAGUGGGUGCCGUAGUGGUUGACAGCGGAUCUAGAUUUGAUCGUUCCGAUAUCAGAUUGUGCCGAGGGCACCUGACUAGGGGUUGGUAGUACUGUUAGACCAGUUUUCUUGACUUUAGCCUGUGAGGGCCUGAUUGAGCUCGACAGAGAUACGCUUGUAUACUCGGUUGGGUCGCGCCCACGAGUGUCGCUCCGGAGUCUGGCUUUGUACUUUCGCGUUGAUGUCGCUGAUUAGUUGCUAUCCACGGACUGUUUAGCGUGGAGGUAGUGCGGCUUAGACAGGCGGGACGGGUGCGUACACAGUCCCUAAUGAGAUUGGGUUAGAAUUGAUAGUAGACACAGUGAGAUAGUGUACUGGCAUGUAGCUAUGGAUUUCUUUCCGGAUUUACCUUUUAGCCUUAUUUCCUACUGUAGUCUUAGUGGGUGAGCCGAUGAUUUUGAGGGCGGUACCCACUGAGGACUACUUGUUUUACAAUAGUUCUCACGCCCAAUUGUUACCCUGUGUUUUUCAGAGCCUGCUGUUCUGGCUGCUGCGUCUUCAGAGGCUGAUCGAGGCAAGGGUGUCGCGAGUUAGAGCCCUACCCGACGAAUCGCCGUGCUAGAGGAUCACCAGCUGUAGGUAGUAGUGUUUUUAUUUUGAGCUUAUGUAUAUACUGAUACUAGAACUCGCUGGAAAGAGUGUUUUUGUACUUGUUAGUUUGUAUGUAUAUGAGAUUUGUUCGUUCUACCUGCUUAGUUCUUUUCAGCUCUACUCUACUGUUGUAGUAUUGUAUAUUUUACAGAGACAGCUAUCGCUUCGUAUACAGGAAAAUUUUUUUUGUAUACGGCAGAUUUGUCGGCGUGCCGGGGAACGUGUAAUCCGGGGCGUGACAAUGGCCAACAGAUGAAUUAGCAAAACGAUUUGUGUACCUUUUGUGGCCGGAGAUCAUUUGGUAUAUUAUGUGCAUGGAUGUGCCAAAAGAAUUAUUCAGAAAUUAAAAGAUGAGAGUCAGAUGAGAGAGAUUCAAAAAAAAAAGCUCGAGUUGAAAUUAUUCUACUGAGAAGAAGAGUCGAUUGCAAUUAUUCUCAUGCUUGUGGUUGUAACUAUUGCAAAAUUUCAACAACUCGUAUUAGAGCAAGUACUAGACUUUUUUUAGCAAUUAGUACCAAAGCGGAUUGCAAAUUUUCAACAAUUGGUAUCAGAGCAUAGGAGUGGAAACGAGCCGAGCUUGAGUGAGCUUAUCACAGCUAAAGCUUGAUUUAAAAUUAAUUUUGAGCCUAAAUUUAGGUUCAAGCUUGGUUUGAAAUUAAUUCGUUUGAAAUUAAUUCGAGCCCAGCUAGAGAGUUUAACUUCGAGUCGAGCGAGCUCGAGCCCUAAACGAGCCGUUUGAAAUUCUUAAUAUUAUGCAAUCUAUAGUUUAACUUUUAUAAAAUAUUAUCUAAAAUUUAAUACAAAAAAUGUCUAAUAUUUUAAUAUACAAAAUGAAUGUACGAAAUAUGAUAUUAUAAUAUUAAAAAAAAAAUUAGGGAAAACAAUUCUGUGAGCAAGUGAAAAAAAAAGAGAGCAAUUAGAGUAGGGUUUUGCUGGUUUGGUUUUGUGGGCCCAAAAACACCUAAACUCUAUAUACAUAUAAUUAAAAUACAUAAUAUAUAUUUAUUACAUAUAAUUAAAUGUAUAUAUAUAAAGUGCGGUUAUUAUACUUUUAUGAGUAUAGAUCUCUUUAUACUAAUAAGUUUUCGGACGUUAUCCCUUUGACUAUUUCCACCCGUUAAAUCAUAUUAUUCAACCAACUACCCACUCAACCCUAAGGGAUCACUAUCAUCCUAACUGCACAUCCCUUCAUCCAUCGGACGAAAACUAAUAAAUACAAAAAGAUCUAUACUCAUAAGAGUAUAGUAAUCUUCUAUAUAUAUAUAUAUAUAUAUAUAUAUAUAGGCUGGGGCUACUAUACUCUUAUGAGUAUAGACCCCCUUAUACUCAUAAAUUUUUAACCGUUGAUUGAUGGAAUGUGUGGUUAGGAUGGUGGUGGUCCCCACUUAAAAUAAUAGUGGUUCCUUAGGGUUGAGUAGGUAGUUGGUUGAAUAGUAUGAUCUAACGGGUGGAAAUGAUCAAUGGAAUAAAUCUAAAAGCCGAAAACUUAUGAGUAUAAGGAAGCCAAUACUUAUAAAAGUAUAGUAGUCGGACUCAUAUAUAUAUAUAUAUAUAUAUAUAUAUAUAGAACUAGGCUGGAAUACUAUUAAUAGCACCAAUGACUUGGUGCUAUUAAGUUUUCCGCCCUUGGAUUAAAAGAUGUACGGUUAGGAUAAUGUGGGGCCCCCUAGGGUUGAGUGGGUGGUUGGUUGAAUAGUAUAAUCUAACGGGUAAAAUUAAUCAAAAGGGUUAAUCUAACGGCAGAAAACUUGAUAGCACCAACUUUUUGGUGCUAUCGAUAGCAUAGCAGCCGGACUCUAUAUAUAUAUAUAGUGAGGCUACUAUGCUUCUGAAAGUAUGGAGCCUUCCGUGCUUCCAGGUCUUUUUCGAUAUUGCGACUUUCGAAUUGUCGAUCGGCUCCGUUAAAUUUGAUCUAGAGUAUUUGAAAUACUUAGAAAAUAAAUUUUAUAAUUUUUCGAUAUCAUUUGCCUAGUGAUCGAAGUGGCUCAAAAUCAAUAAUUUUAAAAGCCGUUGUGAGCUGUUUGCAAGUUUAACGGUGUAGAAAUAUCCAAAUCAUGUGAAAUUUUGAUAGAAAAUUCUUUAUACUAUAUAAACAAGAUCAAUAUCUUUGAUCUAAAAUUUUAAUGUCAUAUUAUCUUGUUUUGUAAGAUUUUUAUUUUCAACCGUUGAUUUUGAGCCCCUUAGUUCACUAAGCAAAUGAUAUCGAAAAAUUGCAAAAUUUAUUUUCUAGGUACUUCGAAUACUCUAGAUCAAGUUUAACGGAGCCGAUCGACGAUUCGAAAGUCGCAACAUCGAAAACGACCUGGAAGCACCGAAGACUCCGUGCUUCCAGAAGCAUAGUAGCCUCACUAUAUAUAUAUAUAUAGUAGGGCUACUAUACUCUUAUGAGUAUUGGGCCCUUCGUACUCAUAAGUUGUNAGCAUAGUAACCGGACUCCUAUAGAAUUAGGCUAAUAUACUAUUAAUAGCACCAAGUUAUUGGUGCAAUCAAGUUUUUGGCCAUUGGAUUAAGAGAUGUGCAGUUAGGAUUAUGUGGGCCCCUUAGGGUUUAGUGGGUGGUUGGUUGAAUAGUAUGAUGUAACGGAUGAAAAUAAUCAAAAGUAUAGAUCUAACGGCGGAAAACUUGGUAGCACCAAGUGUUUCGUGCUAUUAAUAGCAUAGUCGCGGGACUCUCUCUCUCUCUCUCUCUCUCACUCAAUAUAUAUAUAUAUAUAUAUAUAUAUAUAUAUAUAUAUAUAUAUAUAAAAUUGAGCUGGAAUGCUAUUGAUAGUAUUUGGCCACUUUGGCUAUCAAGUUUUUAACUCUUGGAUCAGAAAUUAUAGGGUUAGAAUGAUAUUAGUCUUUUAAGGUCGAGUGGUCCCCCUAAGGUUGAGUGGUCCCCACAGGAUAAUAGUAUUAAUCUAAAGAUUAGAAAUGAUUAAAAUAACUGAUCUAAAGGCGAAAAAAUCAGAAACAUCGUAUCUUCUAUAUUUGCGACAGCAUAGUAGCUCUAAUAUAUAUAUAUAUAUAUAUAUAUAUAUAUAUAUGUGUGUGUGUGUGUGUGUGUGUGUGUGUAUACUCGAGUGUUUUUUAGCCUAAUUCGAAUAAUUCUCAACCUCAGUUUGAACUAAAUUUUAUUUUAUUUUUUUUAAUUCAUGCUCGCUCAUUUAAUUUCGAGUUGAGCUCGAGCAGCCGAAUAUCGAGCCGAACGCGAGUCGAUCGAGAGCCGGCUCGCUCAUCUGCCCAGCCCUAUCAGAGGGCGUACUCUUUCAUAUAACAAACUUGGCAUAUCAAACAACAAAGACGCAUGCGCAAAAAUUUGGAAAACUACUACAUCACCAACCUAUUCCUUUUAAUAAGAGGCGCUUACCUGACGGGAGCAACAGGCGGAAGUAAAUGAGAAAGUUUCUGGACGUAUAGCUUUCCUAUCGAGAUGUUGGAAUAUUUGGAGAGAAAGAAAGAAAGAAAAUUUUGGCAAACUACUGCAUCACAAACCUCUUAUUCCUUUAAGAGGCGCUUACGUGACGGGAGCAAUAGGCGGAAGAAAAUGAGAAAGUUUCCGGACAUAGCUUUCCUUUCCAGGUGUUGGAAUAUUUGGAGAGAAAGAAAGAAAUAUCCGAAUUGGUCUUCCAGAAAGAAAAGUCAAAAUUCUGAAGUACAAAAUGCCAAAACCUAACUACUAGGCCGAACUAAGAAGUGGAAGGAAGCCAUUAUUGUUAGACCCGGCAAACGGGCUAGAUUGGGUAACCCGCGGACGGAUUAUUGUAUUAGGCAUGGAUAAAAUUUACUCGUAAAUUUUUGCAUAGCCAACAUCUUUUUCCCCUGCAGGUGGGUGGGUGGGUGGAUAUGCGGAUUACUUACAUUUUUUUUUUUUUUGUUUUGCUCUUAUAUUUUUUAAAUACAAAUUAAACAUAUAUAUUAGUUUUAAAAGCGUAAUAUAUAUAAUUCAUUAUUUAAAAUAUUAUAACAUACAAUAAAAUAUUUAAAGUCUUAAAGCAAAAAUAUUUCAUAAGAUAAAAGACACACAAUAAGAAAUUAGAAUUAGAAUUUUUAGAAUAGAUAAAAAAAAAUAAUUUUUAUUAAAAAAAUAUAUUUUGUAAUUAAAAAAUAUAUGUGCCGGUACCCGUGGGUACCUGCGGGUUAUUCAAAAUGUCCGCAUCUUAAUGGGUAUCCACUUAUUUUACUCGUAAUUUUUUGGAUUGAAAAAGUUGAUAACCAUAUACACCCACAAAUUUGCGGGUUACACACGGGCACCUGCGGAUUUGGUUCGAGAUUGUCAGGUCUACCUAUUAUGGCACAUUUAUACUACAUCAUCAAUAACCAGCCAAACACAUCUUUCGGUUUGAAAAAAAAAAAAAUACAAUAAAAUAUUUUUCUAGUAACCGUGAUAGGAUGGAUGAAUCCAAAGAAGAGAGUCUGAUUGGUUAGGAUUGCCAUAUCAGUAUUAUAACUGGUGCAUUCUACACCUUUUCAAGAAGUGAAGUAGCAGAAAUAUAAGAUGCAGUGUCGUAUACAGGUGAUGAGGUAUCCCAAAUCAAUUAAUUAAAUUUCCCCAUCAUGAUGAAUUGUAGACGAAUAUUUUUGUUGUGCUUUUUCCAAGAAUCUGUUAUAUGAAGUAGGACGAUUGUACUGUUAUAGGAAGUUAGAUGUGCACUUCCGACUAUAUAUAUAUAGUUUGAAUUAUUAGCUAAGUACAUAAGAGAAUCAUUAAUCGAACAUGUGGAAAAUAUUUCCUCUUCCAAAGUCAUUAGAAGAAACAAACAUGCUAAGGAAUAUAUACUACAACAUCUCCGCGGCGGUCGAAGAGAGUUUGAAAAAGUGGUGGUGAGAUCGAUCGAUCGAGAAGGUACGUAUCGAGAAAGUUAGGGUUCGGGAAUGACGAAGAGCUUGGCUCGAAGCUUGUCGAAGAGCCAUGUCGGCGCGGGGUUUCUCGUGGGCUUCUUCCUGGUCUUGCUCGCCUACUUCACCGUGUCGGAGCAGUUUGCGAUCCGCGCUCUAAAUCGUGAGUUGCAGUUAUCUAUAUAUGCUCUCAGUCAUUUUGAUCCUUUCAUGUUACUUAGCUAGAUGUGUUCAAGCAACAUAUGUAGUGAGAAACAAGUUUGAAUAUUGAUUUUAUAAGAAAAUCUCAAUAUAAGAACGAUUUUUAGAUGACGCUUAGGAGAGGCGUCCCCAGGCAUCCCAAUAGUAUAGCAAAUACCGGCGUUUAAUUUAAAACGCGUUGUCAUAUGAGCACUCUAUUAUAUCAAACCAAUUUAUUAAAAGAGAAACUUUACUGUUAUUUUUAAUUCUAGGACGCUUUAAAACGACAGGAUUUCAAAAAAUUCUGAUGCUUUAAAGCGUUAGAAUAUAUUUUACCAAUAAUGACUUGUUAUUUGACGACACUUUUAAAUGUGACACUAGAUUAUAUUGAAACAUUUUCAAGCACCCUUCGUUCGGUAGGCAAAUGAUAUCGUAAAAUCAUAAAAUUUAUUUUCUAGGUACUUCAAAUACUCUAGAUCAAGUUUAACGGAGCCGAUCGACGAUUCGAAAGUCGCAACAUCGAAAACGAGCUGGAAGCACGGAAGGNUAUAUAUAUAUAUAUAUAUAUAUAUAUAUAUAUAUAUAUAUAAAGCAUGCAUCUUUAAAUGUUAAUUUUCUUAUAGUUAAUAUAUGUAUCUUUCUUUUUUGUAAAAUUAAAAAAGCAAAAAAAUAAAUUAGGCAAGCAUUUUAUUUUCUCUUUUUUCCUUCUCUUUUAUCAUUAUUAUUUUUUUGAUAUUUAUGUGCAAUGUUGAUUCUUAUGAGCUUAAUUGAAUUUUGUAGUUUUUUCACAACGAUCGACGGAACAUGAAGUUGUAUCAACUCCAUCUGCAAAGGAUGUAGAGCAAGGUGAGAUAAAUUUAAAUAAAAUUACCUUAAUUAUUCCUUAGCACUUAAUUUAAACCUUUGUUCUAAUUAUUAUAAGAUAUAUAAUAGUUAUUAAUUAAAGAUGCAUGAAAAUUAACAAAAUUAUCGCUCAUAAAGUGUUUAUUCUCUGUGACUAAACUAUAUGAAUUUUAUAGAGGAAAAACGAAACAAAAAACCAAUUUCUCUCACCCUUAAUUUAGUGAAUAUAAAUAAGUUUUAGCAUCUUAAAGCUUCCUACUAUUUAUUUUAUUUAUGAAGAAAUCGAUUAAAAAUGUAUAUUUGUUGGGAAAAAGUUGGGUUCGGACCUAAAAUAUACCAAAUGGAGAUUAGUUCGUUUGCAAUCAGUUAGUUUUCACGCCUAAUUAGCUCAAUUUGAUUGAGUCGCACCCCUUCCUACCGAGUGUUUUAGUUUCUUGCAAUAUCAAAAGUUUAAAUCUAUACUAAUUCUUAAAUAGAGAAGUUGCUCUUAUUGAUUUUCAAAAAUCUUUUAAAUAUCCCCAAACCUUUAGGGUUUACUACUUGGAUUUGGGGUUUAAAGGGGAAUUUUGGUAGAAUUAGAGUAAAUUUGAAAAUUUUGAAUAGUAAUCGGGGUUGAAUAAGCAAAAAUCCAAUUAAUAUAUAUAGGGCUUCUAUCACUAUGAGUAGAGUUAAUUCACUUUUUAUCUAACAGUGAUAUUUUAAUUUUAGUUAGUUAAUUUCACACUGUAGUGAGUUAGCGAAAAUUAAGGAACACCCAUUGGUAAAAUUAAUUAAUGAUCGAGAACUAGACUAAAAUUUAGUAAUUUGCUGAAUUUUUUUCUCUUCUCGCACAGGUAGAGGCGCCGAAAAAUCCAACCAACUGGUAGAACUGAAGCCGAUCUGCGACACGUCGAAUCCAGACUUUUGCGACAUCACCGGCGACACUCGAAUCCUGGGAAGCAACUCGACGGUCUUUUAUGUCCCUCCCCCCAAAAUCACCAAUCCUGAACCUCAAGAGUGGAAAACCCGAGUACGAACUCACAAGCACCUUAAGUUGAUCGAAUUCGUGACAAUAAAAUCAUUACGCGGUCCGUCCGAAGCCCCUCCUUGUACGGUCCGGCACGAUGUCCCCGCGGUCGUGUUCGAGCUAAGUGUCCAGAUUGGGAACAUCUGGCACGACUUCAACAACGUGAUCAUCCCCCUCUAUCUCACUUCUCGUCGGUUCAACGGCGAGGUUCAAUUCCUCAUAACCAAUCUCAAACCUUGGUUUCUCAAAAAGUAUAGCGUGAUACUCAAGAAGCUCUCAAGGUAUGAAAUUAUCGAUUUUUCUAGCGAUAAGGAGAUCCGUUGCUACCCGCGUGCCCUUGUCGGCCUUCGGAGGCAUCGUGAUUUCGGGAUCUUACCCAAUUUGCCUCCAAAAGGGUACACAAUGCUUGACUUCCGGUUGUUCAUUCGAGAAGCUUACUCGCUUCCAAAAGAUGUACCAAUAAGUUAUCGAGAUAAGCCGGAAAAGAAACCACGACUGAUGCUCAUAAAUAGGGGGGAAACCAGAAGGUUGUUGAAUAUAGAGGAAGUCGUGAAAUCGGCCGAGGAGUUAGGGUUUGAGGUGGUGGUCGUCGAGCCAAAGAGAGACCUAAACGUGACGGAAAUCGCAAAGGUGGUGGACUCAUUCGACGCGCUGAUGGGGGUGCACGGGGCCGGGCUAGCUAACAUCGUUUUCCUCAGAACGAACGCCGCCAUGAUCCAAGUGGUGCCCUACGGGAAAUUGGAGCCCAUUGCCGAGAGCUGCUACGGUUGGCCUGCGAGGGAAAUGAAAUUGCGAGAUGUCGAGUACACGAUUAGCUUGGAGGAGAGCACAUUGUUGGAGAGACUCGGGAGAGAUCACCCCGCGAUCAAGGAUCCGGAUUCAAUUCACAGGAGUGGGUUGAAAAAAGUGAGGGAGUUCUACAAGCUCAACCAAGAUGUGAAGCUAAAUGUCACAAGAUUUGCUCCCACACUAUUGAAGGCUCUUGAGCUUCUUCACAAAUAGCGGGUGUAAGGAAAGUAUUCGAAACAACUGCUUAACUUUUAAAUAUUCUUAUUAUUUAAUAUUUUAAUUUGUUUAAUUCGCGCGAUUUGAUGUUUUUUUUAUUGCAUAUGCGUCUGUGUUUAUUAAAGGAAUGGCACGAGAAACUUUACCGGAAAAGAUGUUUAGAAAUUUUGUUAAGAAAGAACCAUCAAGUAAUUAGUUCAAGAGCAUUGCAAAGCUAGAUAGUUUAAAUUAAAAUUUUUUAUAAAAUUGGUUGUUGUUUCACAAUUAAUGCAUGAGCAAUCAUUCAAAUUACUCUCUUUUUUUUUCUCGUAGUUUGGUUUCAAAAAAAAAAAAAAGAAGCCGGCCCAUUUGCGCAUCUCAAAUUUGAAAUUCAUAGAAUUUAAACUUUUUAUUCGGAACUAACUUUUCAAAAAAUGUAUUCUUAUAAUAGAAUUUUUGUUUUGUAGGAAUAUAUUUAUUUGAUAUAUAUCUUAAAAAUGACAAGAAUAUAUAUAUUAUUUCUACAUUUGGUUGAAUAUAGAAAUUUUCCAACUACAAUAUAUUAUCACAAUACCAAUUUCUAUAGAAACUAAUAUUAUACAUCAUUGUACUAAAUUAAUCNCAUUUGGUUGAAUAUAGAAAUUUUCCAACUACAAUAUAUUAUCACAAUACCAAUUUCUAUAGAAACUAAUAUUAUACAUCAUUGUACUAAAUUAAUCAUAUAAAAUCAUAACUAUUUGAAUAUAAAAUCUAUUUAAACAUUACUAAGUUUAGAGAAUUCUUAAAGUUAUUUGUCUCUUGUACUUAGUUUAAAUUUUUUUGGCAGAUAUAAAAUUUGCACAAAGAACUUUCACAGGAAAAAAAAAAUACUAAGGGAGGAGGUUGGUUUUUAAUCCCAUGUUUUAAGGGAUUAUAAAUGUUAAAAAAAAUUAAAAUCCUAUUACACUAUAUUCCUAUAAUAAAAUAAACAUGAAAUUUCACAAUUCUGCUGUUAUCUAAAACAAUACUGUAGAGUAAACAAGCCCUUAUAUAGAUGUGUUUCUCAAAUACAUGAUGAUAUCCAUAUAUAAUAUAUUCUGCCUAUCAUCUUUUCGUAACGCCCAAUCUAUCAGCUGAUCAUUCAUCACAUGGUUUAUGCAUUGGCACAUCAUUGGGUCUUACCAUUAGCCCAAAAAGCUUAAAUCUAUUUAUUAUUAUUAGUGUACCUUUUAGAUUCUGAUGUUCUCAUCAGCCCAAUUACACACGUAGUCCAAAAUCAUCAGGCAAUGUGAGACUUUCCCGUUAGUCUUGUCAUUCUGAUCCUAACUUAGGCUUGUCUUUUCGACUCUAGCUUGCCGGCCCAAAAUGCUUAGACCCACUUAUUAUUACUAAUAUCUAUUUUCAUCCGAUGUUGGAUUAUUAGGGCAUUACAAACUUUCUCCGUUUAGACUUUGACAUCCUCAUCAUGACUUUGGCUCAGUCGAGACUCAUCUCACACUUCCAACUGAUUAUUGACUCUGAAAUCGAAUAUAACAAUCUAUUUCACUAUAAAUAAGAACUCGUUAUGUAGGCCCAAACCACCCGUCCAAAAUGCUUAAUUCCAGUUACUACUAAUAGUGUCCAUGGUCUCUCUUAUGUGCACAAUCAUAAUCUCAUUUCUAUCCGAUACAGGACUAUUGGGACGUCACAUGUUACGCUCCAUGGUCUCUUAUAUACUCAAUCAUAAUUUCAUUCUCAUUCGAUGUAAAACAAUUAUGGCACGUGUCACAAAAGUACAAAUCCUAAAUUUUAUAGAAUCAAGGUACAUUGUAGCCUAUGCAUUGUAAAAUGCAUAAAAGGUGGGCUGAUUAACCGUAUAUUGAUGAGAGUAGCACUACUGAGAGAGCCAUGUGGGUAGCACUACUGAAUUAGCAAGAGGACGCGUGUGAUUUUCGUCUUUGUUAGUUAAUUCGCGAAUUGUUCACGAAUUAUUCACGAAUUAUUAAAAUUUUGAAUUUAAUGGUCCAUUUACGAAUUUUUUUUGAAAAAAAAAAAAUUAUUCGCGAAUUUUUGGGCCAGCCGAAUUAUUCACGAAUUAUUUCUGAAUUAUUAAAAAUUUGAAUAAAAAACUUAUAAUUUUUAUAUUUGAAUAUAGAUUAUCGUAUAUUUUAUAUCUUAUAUUUUAUAUUUUAUAUCGAAUGCGUUUUUUAAGCCGAAUUUUUUAAUGAAUUUAAAAAUUAGAAAACAAAUUUUAUACGUAUUAUACCUGUACCAAAUUUUUGCCGAAUCCGAAUUAACUAAUUAACUAUGGUUUUCGUGGCCAUGGAUAAUUCAAUACGAGAGAGAGAUUUAGAAAAAAGGGAUCCAGUAGAAAUUAUUCUGCAAAGAAGAAGAGUCGAUUGUAAUCAAUCUCUUUAUUGUGGUUGUACUCAUUGUGAAAUUUUAACAACCGGUACUGAAGCAAGUAUCAAAAUUUGCAGCAAUUAUCAUCAAAAUGGAUUGCAGAUUUUCAAUAGUCGAUAUCAGAGCGAGUACUAUUUCAUAUAACAAACUUGGAAUACCACACAACAAAGAGACAUGAGGAAAAAAUUCGGAGAACAACUACAUCAUAACCUAUUACUCGAAGCGACCGGAGCAAUGGACGGAAGAAAAUGUGGAAGGAGACAAAUCUAAGAAUUCAUCUUCCAGAAAAAGUCGAAGGAUGGAAAGAGGCAAAACUUUGAAUUACAAGAAAAAGUCUAAUAUGCAGCAGCAGUCAUAUACGUGAUGUAGCAUUCCAAACCAAUCAAAUCCCUUUUUUCGAAAAUUCACCCAACCUAACAUAAUUUGUAGAGAAAUAUUUUUAUUAUAGUCUUUUUUAGAGAAAAAACAUAUAAUUAACUGUAUAUAAAUGAUGUGGUGUAGUUGUUAUACAGUAAACUCUCUCAGUGGAUUGGAAUGCGUGAGAAGUUAACAUCAGCUAUAAUGUCUUUCGUACUAGUCAUACAUUUGUGUUCCCACUCCCCCGUAUGUGACGCCCCAACUUCCCAGGGGGUCACCCAUCCUAGGACUACUCCCAUCCUAGCACGCUUAACUCUCUUAACCUCUUGGGCCUUGCCACCACCCAAAAUGCUUCCCAGGGGGUCACCCAUCCUAGGACUACUCCCAUCCUAGCACGCUUAACUCUCUUAACCUCUUGGGCCUUGCCACCACCCAAAAUGCUUAAGCCGGGUUAAGAGUUUUAGCCCUAUUAUAUCUCAUAUAUAGGACUAUCUGGGGUCUCACACCUUUCCAUAAAGCAGGGCGUCACAUUUUAAACUACUAAAAUAUGAUAUAGUGUACUUAAAUUUAUAUUAAAAAUUAUUAAUCUAAGAUACUAAUAAUCUAAUUAUUUGAUUAUUAUUGAAAAUUAAUACAUAUUUGUUUUAAUUUAUGACUAACAUACAUUGAAUUACUAAAAUUUUGAUUAGCUUGGUUUAUUUUGUUUUUCUGGAUUUUAAUUUUUAGAGUCGAACUAAACAGAAUUAUAUGUAAAAUAGAACCGAAUCAACUGAUUUAAAUUGAUUCGUUUUGAUAAUUUGGUUUGAACAGAAUAAUGCUCACCCGGUCCUAAUCUGCACUAUGAAUAACCACUCAUCAAAAAUAAGAGAUAAUUGCACCCGUGCGGAUGGUACAGUUCGUGGCACUAAAAUAUCUCAUAAUGUUGUUUCAUUGUUGUUUUAUUGAGAAUGAGGACAUUGCAAGUACCUUUCAAAUUAAGAACGAAUUUUGGUUCAAAUUAUCAAUAAAAAUGGAGAUAAAACAUCUCAUCAACGUCGUUUUAUUGAGAUCAAUCAAAUGUCCAUGAUUAUAAUAGUGUAAAACAAUUAAUGAAUUCCAUCAUUAUUUACUGACUGAAUUUGAUCAUAUUUAAUAAAUAUAUUUUGCCUAACUCUGAUGACAUCAGUUUCUUCUACAUACGGGGAAUGAAAGGGGCAUAUGAUAGUAUCUAAUAUCUAAUAAAUAAUUUGAACAAAAUGUUGAGUACUUUGGAGAAAGAGAAAUGUUACCUACAAAGCUGUUUCUUUAGUCAGCAAAGAUGUAACAUGAACUGUUUGGCAUCAAAUGGGCCAUCAUUUGGAGUAUAUCCACAUACUAUUUAAAGUUCCAUAUAUAUUUACAAUGCCCCACACAGGUGCUUCCCAAAUACUAAGAUAAUAAUGUAGGCUAUUUAUAGCAUCCAUUCAGCAAUGUCAUGUGAUGCCUCAAUAAUUUGACAUAGAAUGAGAACGAAAUUGCGCUGGGAUAUAUAAAGGAUCAUGGAUCCUAUCCUAUUAAUAACAUCUGGGUUUAAGCAUUUAUUGGCUCCAACGAGUUAUUAUUACUAGCAGGUCGGAUCAUUACAUUUGGUAUCAGAGCCGAUUGUUCAAGUGGAAGUGUGAGAUUAGUCUCGACUGACCAAAGGGUCUAGGAAUUAAUGAUAGGCUAUGUCAGGAUCUGGAUGACGAGACUAGCGAGACAAAUUUCAUAUUUUCUGGUGAUUUUGAGUUCUGUAUGUGAUUGGACUAAUGAAAACAUUAGGGCGUAAACGGAGAGAGCCUGUGAUAUUCUAAUAUUCCCACAUCGGAUGAAAAUCAUAUUAUGAUUGGAUAUAUACAUUUUGGGCCAGUGGUUUAGAAAUUAUGAAUUAUUAUUGCGAGUGGGUCAGGUCAUUACAUAUCACCACUAAUUAUAAUUUAAAAUAGAGUUGAGCUCAUGUGCAUUUAAAAGCACAUGAGCAUUUGUGCUUGUGACUUUUUAGCUGUCGAAUACCUCAAAAUUCGUGCAGUACUAUUAGCAAUGUCUCCUAUUAAAAUUUUUUUUAUUAAAUCUCUUUUACUAGCACUGCACGAAUCUUGAGACAAUUCAACGACCAAAAAUUACAAGUACGUUGAGCUCAUGUGCUUUUAAAAGCACAGAAACUCAACUCCUAAAAACAAUCAAGACCACCCCCUUAACAUUUUGCCAUUUUGUAAUAAUUUUCUCAACCUUUCAAUUUCUUUGAUUCAUAUGUCCUUAACUUUUGGUUUCUUUGAUCUAAAAUAUAUGCUUUUUGUAAACCUGCCAAGUUUGUUGAUGAGUAGGAUAUAUAUAGUGUUUUUAUUAAAUCUAAAGAGAUUAACAACUAAUGAUUAGUAUCUAAGAAAAUUGUUAAACUUGGUAACACAUUUCAAUUCGAUUGAGACUGAAAUAAUUCAAACGAAAAUGACCAAUCUUUGAACUAAGAAAGGACAAAUCUUAAUUAGAGUCGUGCUAUAUGUAUAUUCCAUGAUGAGCUGUUAUGCUACUAAUAGCACUAAGCUUUUUGUGCUGUAGACUCGUUUUCAACGAUGGAGUAUUAAAUUUGACGAUUACGACUGAAAAAUAUGACAUAGAGGAUUUGAAUAUUAUAAAAACCAAAAUUUAUGAUUUUGGGUCAAAAUAGAACAGUUCUUCAAAAAUAAGGCAUAAAGUUUUUAAAUUCAACUAGAUUGUAAGGCCCAUUUUAAAUGGUAGGGAGGCCUUUCUGUUGAAAAUUUUUAGGUUAAAAAAAAAAAAAGAAUCAUUUUGGUUUGGAAAUUGAACACUUUAAAUUUGCAUCCAUUUUCACAAAUAUAAAUGAGUAUAUGAAAGCAUAAAGGGGAGACUCCUAGACUCGACCCUCUCACCUCUGGGCUUGAUCGAGGCCUCCAACUCUGAUACCAUAUAAAAUUAUAUAAAAUAAUUAUUAUUCUUUAAAAAUUUAAACUCGUAGAAAACGAUUUUUGUAUACUUUUAUAUUUAACAAAUAGUUUACACCACCAAAUAGUGAACCCCAGACAUUCCAGCUAGGCCAGAGACCCCUAUGUAACAGUAUCGAAUACAAACUAAGAGAUAGGUACAGAUACGGUGUGAUAGUCCCACAUCGGAUGGGAAUGGGUUGUCAUUGGGUUUAUAAGAGACUUAGACACUAGUAAUAAUAACUGGGCUUAAGCAUUUUGGGCCGGUUGUUGGGCCCAACGAGUUAUUGUUGCUAGUGGGCUGGGUCGUUACAAAAGGUCAUUCAUCUUAGAACUACUCUAGUCGUAACAUACUUAAUUCUCUUAACCUCUUAAGUAUAGUCGCUGCUCAAAUGUUAUAACCAGGUUAAGAAAUUCAUAAACAUUAGGCGAUGUGAGACUUGUCUUGCUAACCUGUAACACCCUAAUAGUCCUAUAUCGGAUAGUUAUGACUAGAUGUAGGAGUAUAUAAGUUUGAUUGGACUAAACAUAAUAACUGGGCUUAAGCACUAGGCCGGUGGUUUUGGCCCAACGAGUUAUUAUUAUUAGCGGGUCGGGUCGUUACAUUUGGUAUCAGAGCCAGUUCACCAGCCGGAAGUGUGAGAUGAGUCUUCGCUAAGACAAGAUUAGAAUGACAAAUUAAGCCAGAGUCGAUGAUUGACAGGCUAAGUUAGGAUCGGAAUGACAAAGACUAGCGAGACAAGUCUGUGACACCCCAAUAGUCUCAUAUCGGAUAUUUAUGGCUAAAUGUGGGAGUAUAUAAGCUUGAUUGGGCUAGGCAUAAUAACUGGGCUUAAAUAUUUUGUGCCGUUGGUCUUGGCCCAACAAAUUAUUAUUGCUAACGGGUCGGGUCGUUACAUAAUCUUAGACGAUUUUGUAGGGAACCGCUCUCCAGUCACAACGAACAUCAACCGCAACGAACAUCAGCCGGUGAGAUUGUAACACACUGGACCUAUGCAAAUUGCGAGGUUCGAGUGUUUGAUUUGGAUUCCGAGCUUUUCCACACUUUGUGGAGGGUCAUAGACGGUGUUCCAACCCGUAGUUCGAAAUUCUGAAUUUUUUGGCUAAGUUCUGAGAGUUUCACUCUCGGGGACCGGUCCCUAGUGGGAGAGACCGGUCCCCCUGAGGCAACCGGUCCUCUGGGUCAGAGAGACCGGUUCCUGAACGCGUGGCCGCGAGAGAGUCCUGAGGGACCGGUCCCAUGUGGGGAGAGACCGGUCCCUCCACCCGAAAUUUGCCCAGACCUUGCUGUGUGCAGGUUGCAAAGUUGAGGGACUUUUCUGAAUUUUGUUGCUUUAGAGGGCCUAUAUGGCUUUUCCUCUCUCUCUCUCCCUCAUUUCUCUCCCUCACACUCUCUCUUACACUUUAGAAAGAGAAGAAGAAGGAGAAGGAAGGAGGAGAAGGAGAAGGAGAAGAAGGAGAGUAAGCUUGGAGGAGCUUUGGACAUCUUCCUCUCCCUCUUUUCUCACCAUUGGAGACUUGGAGCUUGUUGUUGGAGCUUUGUGGAGGAAGGACCUUCAACCCUUGAGCACUUUGAGUGUGGUUUGAAGCAUCCUAGAGGUGAGUAGCUAGUUUCCUUCCUCUAUAUUCUAGUUUUUGAACUUUGAGCUAGAUGAAACUCUAAAUUUGAAUUUUAGGGUUAGAAAUGGGAAUUUUUGUUUGGAGGGCUUUGGAACCUAAUUGAUGGGUUUAAAACCUUUGUUUAGGUUGUAUUGGAAGGAUUAUAACUCCCAUUUGGAGAUUAAGAGAGUUUCCUUCGCUUUCGGUGAGUUUUUAGCCCUAUCCUUGAGUUGGUUUUUAAUCAACCUCAUGGUUGUUCAUUAGAUUCAUUUAACUCCCGUUUUGAUGCUUCUAGGGUAUUAGGAGGCUUGUGGGCACCUUCGUUGGAGCAAACGAAGGGUUUGGAGAAGUCCGGUGGGUUUGACUUCAUGAAAUCGGGACAAAACGGCCCCUAUGUGUAUUAUACUUGUCGUAACGUCAAUUUGAUUGCAUAUUCAUGCUAAAUGGGAUUUAUGUGAAUUUUAGAACACUUAAAAUACAUGUGUUAUAUAUUAUAAAAAUUUCACUCUAUAUAGUAGAGCUAUAUGUGUAGGCUGCAUGCAUGUGGAAGUGUUGAUCUAUGCGAGUUGAUUACAUGUCUCGUGCAAGAAAAAUGAUUAGAAUUAUAUAUUCAUGAACAUAAUUAUCAUGCUUUGACUUAGUGAACAAAAUGCCAUAAAGGGGCACCUGAACUAGUAAACUAUGAAGCUGCAAUAUAGAGACAUAGAGUUGGGCCAUUGACAUCUACUACAUUCCAUGUUUAGACAUGAUGAUAUAGAGAUAGGCCCUUGAGACAUAUGUUAUAUUUCAUGUUUUAGACAUGAUGACUUGAGACUUGAGACGGAUCUUACGCUUACUGCCAUUGUGCUCAUUCGCACACGCUUGUGAGGGUCGCUCCCUACAAGCCGGCACUCCGGAGAUGGCCAUCGCGAUACAUAUUCGCCGUGCGGGAUUGGGCUCCGAAGUAAAUUGCCGUGGACAAGGCUCAUUCCUAGAGUGGGGAUGUUGACUACCACGGGGCCAUUAGGCUCGGCACCGGCCAGACAGCCUACGGGUGGGUCUACAGGGCAGACAGCCUUCGGGCGGGUCUUCCAAAAUUGAACUUUAAGUAGUUAACAUGCAAGUGAACAUUGACUAGAGUAGUAAACAAUGACAUUUUACUAUUACAUUGUGGAUAUUAUGAUGGUUGUAUACUCGUGCAUUUUCAUGAUAGUAUAGCUUUCUUACUUAUGCAAUUCCAUGCUAAAUAGAGACCUCAUGUAGUAGCAAGUACUCAUAUUUAUUUACUUGUCGUAUAUAUCGCUUUUGCUUAUACUCGUACUUACUCUUUUUGUAACUUUUGAGCCUAGUGACGCAUAUCACUGAAGUCAGUAAUUGCCCACCGGGAACUAUUAUUUAAUAAUUCUCAUGUCCCCUGUUUUAUGGUUUAUUUCAGAGCCUUCGGCACCGGCGGAGGUACGGGAUCGCGGAAAGGGUGUCGCCUAGCUAGAUAGCGGGGAGCUACUUGCUCUUAGGUAGUUACUUUCUUUUUCUAUUUUGGAGAGAGAGAUUUUUGUACCAUAUAUAGAGACCACCUAUGUACUUUUUUAGUUCUUGUUUUGGGAUAUCUAUUGUAUUACUUAUGACUUUUAUUUAGUGGUUUUGGCUUCUUUCAUCUUUUCUUGUUGCAGAAAUCUAGAUGUACUUUGCUCUGAUACUCCUAGAUGUUCUUCUCUCAUUACUCUAUUUAUCGAUUUGUUGUAGACACCUUAUAUGUUUUAAACAUAUGGCGGGUCUGGACACGCGCCGGACGGACUUUCGCUGGGCCCCGGGGCGUGACAGAGAUUUCGCUUUAUGUUAUUUUAUUUUAUUUCAUAGAAACACUAUUCUACUCUAAACAAACCUGAUAAUUUUAUUAAUACAUCCAUUUUAGAUAAAAGGAAUCAAAAGUUGGGCAUAUAUCGAUUAAAGUAAUGGACACAAGUUGGGAACCCAUUACAAAAUAACCAAAGUAUUUUUUUGUAAAUUUUUUUGAGAGAAAGAUAGCAAGUUAUCUACUGCGCUCAUUUAUUUUUAGAAAUAAAUUCAGAUAGAAAAAUAAAGUACUAUGCUUCAAAUUUGAAACCUCAAGUGUCAACCAUCAAGUCCUUAGCAAACUGCACUGGGUACCGUCUAUCAAAAUGACAAAAAUGUUGAGGGGAUCUUCAUAUAUGUAGCAUCUAAAUUAUAAUUAGUGAUGGCAUUGUGGAAUGCAUGUUACAAUAGCUAGCAACAUUGUCAAGUACUUGGGAAGCAUCUUUGUGGGGCAUUUUAGAUAUGUCAUAUGUGUAGAUCAUCAAAUAUCUCCAUGUGGAAACUCCAAAUAAUGGACCCAUUUGAUGCCAAAUAUAUAUACUUCAAUGUUACAUCUUUGCUGACUAAAAGAAACAGCUUUGUAGGUAACAUUUCUCUUUCUCCAAAGUGCUCGACAUCUUGUUCAAAUUAUUCGCUAGAAAAUAAAUACUUUCGUGUACUCCUUUCAUUCUCCGUAUAAUUUAGAAGAAUUUAAAGUGUGUCAUCAGAGCUAGGCAGAAUAUAUUCAUUAUAUCUAAUCAAAUUUAGCCAGUAAAUGGUGACCAAAUUCAAUAAAACUAUUGAUAAAAUUCUUGAGUUCAGGUUUUCUUAUUUUGUGCUUGGCAAUAGUUUUAAAUACUGAGAUUUAGAUAAAUUAUAAUUGAAAUGAACAUGAAAAUAACAUCCAAAUGUUAUAGUUUAGUUUCAAUUGUUUGAGCUAACACAUUUUAUAUUUUUUACUACUUGAAUAUUCAUUACAGAAGGGGCAAAAAUCAAGUAGGACUCGUCGCACAAGAUAACUGAUCGAGAUAUGAGACAUUGGAUAGAUUAAGUGUCCUUGGACAACUCGCACCGUAGUUAUUGUAAUCCUUUUAAUGUAGGGUUAAUAUAGAUAAGAUAUGUUCAACAAGUACCAAAACUUACAGACCGUCACUAGAGCAAGUGGCAAAGGGUUUGGUGGUUGGUACCCGAGACCCAAGUUCGAAUCCUAGUUGAUUCACAUUUCCAGCUAAGUUUAUUUCUAAAUUAAAUAAACGAAGCGGGUAGCGUGCUACCUAUCUCUCAAAUAAAAUAAAAAAAAAAAAACAAGUACCAAAACUUUGUGUUGGAUUAUUAUGUCCUUUAUUUCAACAAAAAAAAAGUGGGUUAAUUUCACUGGUGCCCUUCAAAAGGUUGAUAAUAUCGUAAAUACCCUCACAAAAUCAGUAAUAUCGUAAUUACCCUUUUAAAUAUAUAGAUUCUUUCAAAUCUACCCUUAUUUGCAAACUCCGUUAAAUUCAUAUAAGAUUAAAGAUUAAUUACCAAUUUUGCCCUUCAUCCUUGAAAGGUGUUGGGGGUUAUAGUGAGAAAAUAUAUGUUCAACUUCCUCAACUAUAGACUAUUUUGAAAAGGAUCCCUAAUUUUUUUCCUUGUGUAAAACACCCAUUCAAUUUUCAUUUUUUUGAUUUAAAUUAACUCCACGAAUUAAAUUAUAUACGUUGUUCAAAACUAAAACACUCCAUUAGCAACUAACUAUUAAAUCUAUAAUGUCUUUAAACAAAAAUCGUUAAAGCCGUUAUAUUUGAUGAAAUAACUAAAAUUUUCAUUCAACUUGCAAAAAUAGUGUAAUUCUAGAUUUAAUAAUUAGUUGCUAAUGGAGUGUCUUGACUUUGAACAAAAUAUUUAAUUUAAUUAAUGAAAUUAUUUUAAACGAAAUAAAUAAAAUUUGAAUGGGUCUUUAUACAGGAAAAAAAAAUUAGGAAACUUCUUCAAAAUAGCCUAUAGUUGAGGGGGUAGAAUGUAUUUUUUCUCACUAUAACCUUCAACACCCUUUAAGGAUCAAGGGCAAAAUCGGUAAAUAAUUUUUAAUCCCAUAUGAAUUUAACGGAGUUUGCAAAUAAAGGUAGAUUUGAAAAAAUCUAUAUAUUUAGAGGGGUAAUUAAUUAUGAUAUUAUUGAUUUUGUCAGUGUAUUUACGAUAUUAUCAAUCUUUUGAAGGGUACCAGUGAAAUUAAUCCAAAAAAAGUAUUCAAACUAUUGCAAAUCCAUGUUGAUCACGAAAACUAUUAAGAGUAUCUAAUCCACCCUCUCACCCAUGUGGACAAAGUACAUGUAUAACUAAAUUAUAUAUAUAUUCAAACACUCAAAAACAGAAUAAUGAAAACUAAGUUAAAUUGAGCCUUUUUAAAUACUUGAGUAAAAAUUUCAAGUUUGCAAAAAUUCGUAAAUCAAUUUAUGUUUUAUUCGGAUGACAUAUACAAAGCGUGGGGUGGAGAAAAUCCAUUUAUCUUUUUGUUUUUUUUUUUUUUUUUAAUUUUCUUAAACCUAAGAAGUGUAAUUUUAUAAUCCGGAUGUAGGAGUUAGACAUUUGAUUGUUUAAAUAACAUCUCAGAUAACAAUGAACUGCUCAAUAAACCGAUCAAAAUUUAUCAGCUUUUUUUAUUCAAAAAUAUUUUUAUAUUAGCUUUUAGGCAAAAUUACAGAAAAUUAUUUUGUUAAUAUUCGCUUUUUCAUUUCCUCCCACUCUAUCAUUCAAAACCUACACUUUGCUUUCUUAAAAAAUAAAAAAUGUUCAUUUUGACCCCGCCGUCAGUAUUGCGUUAGGAUUUCGUUUAUAUUCUAUUUUUGAUACCCAAAAUACUCUUAAAACCCUCAUCCUUCCUCAUCCUCGACCGCGCCGUCUCGCCUUCCGCCGCACCGCCUCGCUCUCUGCUGCCUCACUCUCGCCUACCUCUGCUGCCUCACCCUCGUCCUCACCCUCGCCACCUCUACGUCCAUGCCCAUUCCGAAGAGGAUGAAAGGUAAUUUGAUCAUUUUGUUACAAUGUAUCUUCCUGUAAAUAUUUUUUAUAUUUUUUAAAAAAUAAAAUAUAAAGCUUUGAAUGAAAGAAAAAUAAAAGUAAAAAUACGAAUAUUGACAUAAAGAUUUUUUAUAAUUUAGCAUAGAUUUUAAUAUACGGCAGUAAGUUCUGUUAAAAAAGACAAAGAAAAGGAACUUUUUUUUCCCUUUUUUUUUCUCUUUUAUUUCCAAUUUGUCUCUAGUUUUCUUUUUCUCUCCUUUUUCCUCUUUAUGCUUUUUUUUUUUUUUUAUUUCCUGAUCAGGAUUAGGAACAGCAUCCCUAUGUUUAACACUUCGGUUAAAAAUGCGCGAGAACACCCUGUACUAUCCAAAUAUUGCGACUAAACAUCUAUGCUUUUCACUUAAAAAUGUUUAGCUUUUCAAACUUUCCUGUAGUAAAAUUAUCUUCUUUUUUUUCACCAAAUAGUUAAUUUUCUCCUUCACGAAUUUUUAACGAAUCACUUAUUUUAGUUUACUUUGCGUAAAUAUUCAAAAGCUAAAGUAUUAAUUUUACCAACUAAUAAUCACGAGAACCAAGUUGCUAUAUCGAGAGACUAGAGGGACUGUGCACAACAUUGUUUUAACCCCCACGUGUUGGAAAAUGAUUGGCCCUUAACUAUGUACGACUUUAAUGCGUUGUGGCCACGUGUCGCUUUAGAAAGAUAGGAUCUGCAAACUCCUCAUUGGCCCAACGAGAAUCUAAAAAAUUUUAAAAAAAAUAAAAAUAACUCAAGUUAUUAUAAUAAUACUACUAACUAUGCACUUCUUUGUCGUUCUCCACCAGCCCCUUCAAUAUUCGUGCACGAAGCAUUUAUAGUCCCCAUCAUUAAAUGACUAAUUUUUGCUUAUUAUUAUUAUUAUUAUAUAUAUUAAGGGAGAUCAAGCAUUAAGAUACUAUUCUUCUUAAUUAGAUCUAAUUAGGGAAAUAUUAUUAAUUGGUAGUACCUAUACUAUCCUGAUAUUGAACCUUGGUCCCUGUAUAUUUAAUAUAAAAACUUGGACAAUUUACACUUUUGGUACUCAAAUUUUAAUUUAUUGUAAUUUUUUGUGCAAACUUUUUGAAUUAUUACAAUCAAGUUAUAUAGCUAGCUCAAUUUAAAAAUAUUGACAAAUUGUUGAUGUAGAAAUAAUAUAUAUAUAUAAAAGUAUUGUAAUUGAUAAUGCGACAAUUAAUCACUAAGAUGAUAAACUACUUCUAUGUUAAUAAUUUGUCAAUAUUUAGUCAAUUAAUAAAUGUGAUUGUGAUAAUUUGGAAUGUUCAGAUCAGAAAUUAUCACAAAUUAAAAUUUUAGGACCCAACUGUCAUGCGUUGUAUAAUCUGAGGAGCAUAAGCCUAAUUUACCCUAAAAACUAUAUACUAUUCUAAAAUCUUUCGUGUGUAGUGCUUAUUAGCCCUAAUAAGACUAAACAUCUUCUUCUAUAGAGAGAUAAUUAAAAUUAUCGUUUAAGGUGAUUAAGACCAAAUUUUUGUAUUUAUAUGUGUAAUUUUUUCUGAGACUAUUUUAUUUAAGGAGGAAGUGUAGAGAUCUAGUUGCAAUACUAUGAUAGUACAAGAAGCUACGCGCAAAUUUUACGCGAAAAAGCCCAUUUCUUCAAAAUAUAAGUUAUGAAGGUCAUUUCAUAAUAAAAGGUAAAAUUUUCUAUCCACAAGCGACUAAAGUGUAUUUAUAAUAAAAAAUAAACAAAUUUCUACUAUCUAACACAUAAUCAAUAUGAUAUGAAAUUUUAGUCUUGUAUCAUAAACUUUUGUGAGAUUUUAUAUUUUCAGCCAUUAAUUUUUUAGCCUUUUCAAUCAUUAAAUAAAUUAUAUCGAAAUACUCUAAAACAAGUUUAAUGAAACUGAUCGUCAAUUUGAAAAUUUCAUUAUCAAAAUCAACUUAACAAAUAUUGUGACAUUCGUGCUUCUAAAAGAACUCCAGCUUACACGCACGUAUAUUUAUCUCCACCUUAACUUAGUAGAAUUAAUGAGUCAUUAUUAUUGUUCGGAAAUUAAUUAACUAAUUAAAGCUUAUUUGCUACUAAAAAUAAUUAAGUCAAAAGUACUACCCAACCAUGUUUACCCAAAAGUCUACUCUUCUUAUAUAUAAACCAAGUAGGAUGAUUCCCUACUGUUAUUGGAAGUUAAAUAUGCACUUUUGACUAUAGUUUGAAUUAUUACUUAAAUAAAGUACAUAUAUAUAUAUAUAUAUGAGAAUCAUUAAUUGAACAUGCAUCUACAACAUAUUUCCUCUUCCAAAGUUAUUAUAAGAAACAACAUGCUAAGUAUUUGUGUAAAGCUUCUUCUGCUAUAGUCGUCGCGAAGAUCGAGUUUGAAAGGGUGGUGCAUGGUGAGAUCGAUCGAGAAGAUACGUAUCGAGAAAGUUAGGGUUUGGGGGUGAUGAAGAGCUUGGCUCGAAGCUUGUCGAAGAGCCAUGUCGGUGCGGGGUUGCUCGCGGGGUUCUUCUUGGUCUUGCUCACCUACUUCACCAUGUCGGAGCAGUUCGCGAUCCGCGCUCCGAAUCGUGAGUUGUAGUUACCUAUGCUCUUGAAUCAUUUUGAUCAUUUCAUGAAGGCUAGAUGAGUUCAAGCAACAUAUUUUGGGCACUACUAAUUUUUAUGAGAGCUUAUUUGAAUUUUGUAGUUUUUUCGCAACCAUCGACGGAACAUGAAGUUAUAUCAACUCCAUCUGCACAGGAUGUAGAGCAAGGUGAGACAAAUUAACAUAUAAUUACCUUAAUUAUUUUUCAUUUUUUUCUUUGUUUUGUGAGAUGAUAGUGGAUUAACUAAAGAUGGUUAAAAUUACUGUAACUAAUAGAUUAGUUUUUAAGGAAAAAAAAAACCUUAUAUAUAUAUGUAUAUAUCAUUUUAAAAUUUUAUAGUUUUAAUGAAGAAGUUGAUUAAUUAAAUGUCGAAUGAUGAAUGGCAGGAUCAAAAGAUACGGUAGAAGAAAUCGACGCGGGCCGUAACGAGCAGGAGCCAAAAUCAGAUAAAUUCAAAAAGGAAGAAGAGAUCAAAGAAGAGGAAAAAACAUCAAAAUCUUCAAAGAAUACUCAACAACUAGGUAAGACACUUAACAUUCCACACACUAAUGAAAUUUAAUAAUUUUCCAUAUUAAAUGAAAUAAAUGAUAAAGAGCUUGGUGGUAAAAAGUUUGGUCGUUGGUACCUGAGUUUCAAAAUUCGAAUCCUAAUUGAUUCAUAUUUUCAACUAAAUUUAUUUUUAAAUAAAAUAAAUGAAGCAGAUGGCAUGCUACUUAUCUCUCAAAUAAUAAUAAUAAUAAUAAUAAUAAUUUUUCAAAUUAUCUAAUGCUACAAAUUUAGAAAGUUUACUUUUAAUUUGCUCGUCUAAUUAAUUUCUUUUAAAAAAAUUACUAAAGGUCAGAAAAGUUUCACUUUGCCCUUAGUCCCCUACAAGAUCAUCAUAAUUUGCUUUACUUCUACUUAUAUAUCGAGUGAUCUCAUAGUCCAGCUAGCAAAAGACAAGAUUUUUAUCAACCGCACAUCCUUUCAUCCAACGGCCGAAAACUCAAUAGUACUAAGGACUUGAUACUGUUGAUAGUAUAGUAGCAUAAUUCUAUAUACAUAUAUAUGAAUUGAGCUCCUAUACUUUUAAAAGUACCAAGUGAUUGGUAUUUGUAAGUUUUCGGCCCUUGGAUUAAGGGACAAGCGGCCGGUUAGGAUGAUGUAGGCCACAUAGGGUUGAGUGGGUGGUUGGUUAAAUAGUAUAAUUUAGCGGAUAAAAAUGAUCAAAUGUGUAGAUCUAACGAUAAAAAAUUUACAAGCACCAAAUGCUUGGUGCUUUUACAAGCACCAUAGCCGGACUCCAUAUAUAUAUAUAUAUAUAUAUAUAUAUAUAGAGAGAGAGAGAGAGAGAGAGAGAGAGAGAGAGAGAGAGCUAGGCUGGUAUACUAUCGGUAGCACGGAGACCUCCGUGCUACCAAGUUGUUUUCAAUGAUGUGGCUUUCAAAUCAACGAUCGGUUUCGUUAGACUUGAUCUACACUAUUGAAAGUAUUUGGAAAACUAAAUUUCAUAACUUUUUGACAUAUUUUGGUUAGUGAUCAAAAGGUGUCAAAAUUAACAAUUUUAAUGAUAGAUGUGAUGCGUUUGUGAAUUUAACGGUGUAAAAUAAUCCAAAUCUGAUAAAAUUUUUAUAGAAAAUUCUUUUCACUAUUUAGAGUAAAAUCAGUACAUCUGAUCUUAAAUUCAAGUCUUUUAUUAUCAUUUUUUAUGAGAUUUUUAUUUUCAGCCGUUUAUUUUUAAACUACUCGUUUGAUAGGUAAAUAAUACAGAAAAAUUAUGAAAUUUAGUUUCCAAAUACUUUCAAUAGUGUAGAUCAAGUCUACCGAAACCGAUCAUCGAUUUGGAAGCCGCAUCAUUGAAAACAACUUGGUAGCACAGAGGCCUCCGUGCUAUCGAUAGUAUACCAUCCUAGCUUUUAUAUAUAUAUCUUUCACAUGGAUGAAAGAGAUGAUUGCGUGUAGCAAUUUUCUGCAUAUUGAGUUAUAGGACUUUGAUUUGUUUCGAAGAAUUUCUAAUUUACAUGUAUUAUUUUCUAUGUUAAUUUUCUUUUUCUUUUUUUUUUUUCCACAUGGUAUAGGGAAAUUAAUUUUGGCUUUGUCCCACAAAACAAGCUUAACUUAUUCUUUAGUGAUUGAUAAUUUUGUACUGUGAAAGCUCCAAUCCACAUAAAGACAUGUUGCUUCAGGACAAGUUUCUUCAUAUUUUCUAUUGAAAUUUCUAUCUAUUAUCUUACCUUCCAUUAAGAUCUAGUUCGAGAACUGCGUCGAAAAACGCAUCCGCUUUGGGAUUCGGGUCGGGUUCGAGCCGGCUUUGGUUUGGUAAGUUUGAAUUGAAUAAAAAAAAAACAAAAUUAUUUGGGACCCAUUUAUGGUGGCCCAACCCUAGCCUAAAAUUCUAUUUUGGAUAUCCAAACUAUUCGUGUUGCGAGUCUUUUGAACCCUCUAAAUUAUAAAGCAGGUAUAUUUGACGAAUAUAUUUUCAAACUAAGACAAUGUAAAACCACCAAAAAUAAAAAUCGGAAUCUUCGGACAUAAAGUGUUUAUUCUGUAUUUAGAUUAUUAAAUUUAAUAAUUUUCUACACAGUAAUAAAAUGCAUUUUGUUCAGUUGCGCGCGAUCGACUUCGUUUGGUCUAAUAUAUAGCUCAACUUGUUCAAGUCGCACCCUUAUCUACGAGUCUUUUAGUUUCUUUUUUUUUUUUUUUUUGAGAGAUAGGUAGCACGCUACCUGUUUCGUUUAUUUCAUUUAGAAAUAAACUUAGCUGGAAAUGUGAAUCAAUUAGGAUUCGAACUUGGGUCUCGAAUACCAACCACCAAGCCCUUUGUCACUUGCUCUAGGGACGGUCGGUGAGUCUUUUAGUUUCUUGCAACUUCAAAAGUUUAAAUCUAUGCUGAUUUUCAAAUAGAAAAGUUGCUCAAUUUUUUUUAUCGCUAUUUUUUUCUCACUAUGCAUAAUUUUUCGUACGGCAAUGGCCAGAAAAAGGAAAAAACUCUUUUUGGUUUCUUCAUAUCUUUAGCUUAUUUCAUUCUAAAAAUUGAAUGAAGCAUUUCGAUACGUUUUGGAUAAUAAUCAGGUAUUUGGGACCUAAAACCUAAUUUUAACUUUUAUUUUGAUUCCUAAUCGCCAUGUCACUAAUUUUUCUAUUUCGUUGCACUUCUAAUGUUUUCAUUAUUAAAUUUCUCCAUUUCUUUAGAGUAAUAGUGUCAUGUACGUUAGGUGAUAAUAUCUGAUAUGUCCUUAAAAACUUCAAAAAUAUCUAAUAUACACCUGGUUGGCUAAAAUGCCCUCUUUGAUUUUUUUUAAAAAUACUUUAAAAAUAUCCCCAAACUCUAGGGAUUACUAAUAGGCUUUGGGAUUUAAAGGGGAAUUUUGGUAAAAUUAGAGUAAAUUUGAAAUUUUGAAUAGUAGUCAAGGAUAAACUAAUAAGCCAAAGUCUUAUUAAUAUGUAUAAGGCUUAGUAGAGUUAAUUUACUUUUUACCUAAUGGUGAUAUAUUAAUUUUAGUGAGUUAAUUUCAAACUGUAGAGAAUUAACAAAAAUUAAGGAACACUCAAAUGAAGAUUCUUGCUCUUUUCAUGUAGGUGGAGGCAACGACAAAUCCAACCAAUCGGUAGAGCUGAAGCCGAUAUGUGACACGUCGAAUCCACGAUGCGACGUUUGCGACGUGACAGGCGACGCUCGAAUCCUCGGGAGCCACUCGACGGUCUUAUACGUCCCUCCCCCCGAAAUCACCAAUCCUGAACCUCAAGAGUGGAAGAUCCGAGUACAAUCUCGCAAGUACCUUCCGUGGAUCAAAUUCGUGACAAUAAAAUCAUUACGCGGCCCGUUCGAAGCCCCUCCUUGUACGGUCCGGCACGAUGUCCCUGCAGUCGUCUUCGCGCUCGGUGGCCUUAUAGGGAACGUGUGGCACGACUUCAGUGAUGUGAUCGUGCCCCUCUACCUCACUUCUCGUCGGUUCAACGGCGAGGUUCAAUUCCUUAUAACCGAUCUCAGACCUUGGUGGGUCGAAAAGUAUAGUGUGAUACUCAAGAAGCUCUCGAGGUACGAAAUUAUCGAUUUUGAUAGCGAUAAGGAGUUCCGUUGUUACCCACGUGCUCUCGUCGGCCUUCGGAGCCAUCGUGAUUUCGGGAUCUUACCCGAUUUACCUCCAGAAGGAUACACAAUGCUGGACUUCCGGUUGUUCAUUCGAGAAGCUUACUCGCUUCCAAAAGAUGUACCGAUAAGUUAUCGAGAUAAGCCGGAAAAAAAGCCACGACUGAUGCUCAUAAAUAGGGGGAAAACUAGGAGAUUAUUGAAUGUGGAGGAAGUAGCGAAAUCGGCCGAGGAGUUAGGGUUUGAGGUCAUGGUCAUCGAGCCAAAGAGGGACCUAAACGUGACGGAAUUCGCAAAAGCGGUGGACUCGUGCGACGCGCUGAUGGGGGUGCACGGUGCGGGGCUUACGAACAUCGUUUUUCUCAGAACGAACGCCACCCUGAUCCAAGUGGUGCCCUACGGCAAAUUGGAGUCCAUGGCCGAGGGAUUCUACAGUUGGCCCGCAAGGGAAAUGAAAUUGAGAGAUGUCGAGUACUCGAUUGGCGCUGAGGAGACCACAUUGUUGGAGAAAUUUGGGAGAGAUCACCCUGUGAUCAAGGAUCCGGAUUCAAUUCACAACAGUGGGUGGCAAAAGGUGGCGGAGUUCUACAUGUUCAACCAAGAUGUGAAGCUAAAUGUCACAAGAUUUGCUCCCACACUAUUGAAGGCUCUAGAGCUUCUUCGCAAAUAGUGGGUGCAUGUGAGGAUCUUUAUUAACAUUUAAAUUUUACUAUUUAGUAUUUUAAUUUGUUUAAUUUGAACAAUUUAAUGUUUUUUUUCAUUGCAUAUUUUGGUUCUGGCGUUUGUGUAUGACACAGUGAAUUACUCAAAUAUGCAACAAAAAAGAACCGGCCAUCAUGUAAUUAGCUCAAGUGCAUUUAAAUUGAAAAUUUUUAAAAAUUGGUUGUUGUUUCACAGUUAAUGGAUGAGCAAUAAAUCAAAUUACCUUUUAUUUUCUUUUGCAACUAUAGGGCAAUUUGUUCUUGUAGUUCGGUUUCAAAAUUAUUCUUUCAUCCAUCUCUUCUUUAAAUUCAAUCGUAUAUUUACUCUAAAAUCGACCAAAAAAAGAACAAAAGAAAAAUUGAAAUCCAUUUGUAAUUAAGGGAGGAGGUUUGUUUACAUAUAAAUCCAUAUAUUUUAAGGGAUUAUAAGAUUUCUUGAAACAUUUUAAAUCCUAUUGCGCCAUAUAUUCCUAUAAUAAAAUAAAUAUGAAAUUUAAAAUAUACUGUGAAGUAAACAGACUCUUAAACUAGUUUUGCUAUGAUCUGCAGCCCAAGACAAUGCAGGUGGUGAAGCAAGGUAGACCAGUAGGCCCUUUUGACUUAUAUCUAUUUACAAAAAUAUUGGCCCAAAAAUUUUAUUCUUAUUCUCAUUAUUUUUUCUAGGAUUAAUUUCCUACAUAUCCCCGCAAAUAUAUAUAGUGAAUGACAAAUAUAUAUCUAUAAAGUUUAACUUUUAUAUGUUGUCGCUACAAAAGUUCUAAUGUUUUUAAAUAUGUUCCUCUGGUUUGUUACCAUUAGAGAAUCGUUAGAAAACUAUUUAUAUUUUCAAUUUUGCCAUCAUAAAUAUAUCCCUUCCAAAGCCAUACUAGUAUUAUAUAAAGAGGUAAAAAUGUCAAAAACUAAUUAGGAUUAAGUAUUUAACCGAUGGUUAACUAACUUUUUCUAACGGAUUCUAACGGCAGGAACAUAUUUGAAAACAUAAGAACUUUUGUAAGAACAAUAUAUAAAAGUUCAACUUAAUUUCUAUGGAUAUAUUUAUUAUUCACUAUAUUUGGAAAGUCAUGUAUGAAAUUAACCCUUUUUUCUAUAUAUAUAACGUGAAACUUAAAAAAAAAAAGUGAUCAAUGUAUGGAGUGCGCUAGGGGUGUCAACGAGCCGAACACCAGUGAGCUGAGACUGGUUCAUGUUCGGCUUGUUUCAUAAACGAGCCGAACACGAGCUGGCGCGUUAAAUUAAGUAUCGAGCCGAGUAUGAGCUGGCUCAUGAUUAGCAAAAUAAAAGAAUUAUGAAGGAUAUGUAUAGAAAAUAAAUUCAUGAGAUCUUACCUAUUUAACUUGGAUCUAAUAGUUGAAAUUUUACAUAUAAAUGACCUUUUCAUAAUUGAGUUGGGUUUUAUAUUUAUGUUACAUUAAAAAUUUUAUAUAUAUAGAGAGAGAGAGAGAGAGAAGAGAGAGAGAGAGAGAGAAGAAGAGAGAGAGUCCGGCUACUAUACUUUAUGAGUAUAGAGCCUAUUAUACUCAUAAAUUUUGGCCGUUAAGAUCUACCCUUAAUCAUUUUUAUCUGUUAAAUUAUACUAUUCAACCAAACUACCCCAGUACUCAACUCUAGGGGGCCCACUAUCAACCUAACAGUAAUCAACUUUCAUCCUAAAUGUAUAUUUUUUCAUCGCUGAACUGUCGAUAAACUUAGAUACAAAGAGCUCUAUACUCUCAAUGAGUAAGUAGCCCCAUGCACAUAUAUAUAUAGUAGAACUAUAUAAUAUAUAUGAUAAUAUAUAAUAUUUAUAUAUAUAUAUAUUCGAGCUGUUAUCGAGCCGAACAUGAGCGAGCUGACCUCAGCUCAGCUCGUGAUCGACUCGUUUAUUAAACGAGCUAAAAAAUUUAGCUCGCUCGUGUUCGAUUAACGAGCCGAACACAAGUCAAGCACGAGCUAACUCAUGAACAAUAAGUUAAAACAAUUACGAAGGACACGUAUAAAAAAUAAAUUUAUGAGAUAUUAUCCAUUUAACUUUGUUCUAAUAGUUAAAACUUUACAUAUAAAUGACAUUUUUGUAAGAGUUAGACUUUAUAUUUAGAUUAAACUAUAAAUUAAUUAUUUAUUUAUAUAUAAUAUAUAAAUAUAAAAUAUAUGUAUUUGAGCUGUUAUCGAGCCGAACACGAACGAGCUGAUCGCAGCUCGUAUUCGGCUCAUUUAUUAAACGAGUUGACAAAUUCAGCUCGUGUUCGACUCAUUUAUUACACAUGCGAUUCGAUCUCAAACUUAUUUCGAGCGAAACAUGAAUUGGUGCGUUAACAACGAACUAGAUUC